This 254-nucleotide ribosomal RNA is filed under the name uncultured bacterium. Its description in RNAcentral is "partial 16S ribosomal RNA". It matches the Rfam family "Bacterial small subunit ribosomal RNA", at positions 524 to 776 of the family's 1533-position model. The record is from RNAcentral.
UACGUAGGGUGCAAGCGUUAUCCGGAAUUAUUGGGCGUAAAGAGCUCGUAGGCGGUUUGUCGCGUCUGCUGUGAAAACUCGAGGCUCAACCUCGAGACGUCGGUUGAAACCAUCUGGCUAGAGUCCGGAAGAGGAGAGUGGAAUUCCCGGUGUAGCGGUGAAAGUGCGCAGAUAUCGGGAAGAACACCCGUGGCGAAGGCGGCUCUCUGGGACGGUACUGACGCUGAGACGCGAAAGCGUGGGGAGCAAACAGG